CACGUAGGGUGCGAGCGUUGUCCGGAAUUAUUGGGCGUAAAGAGCUCGUAGGCGGUGUGUCGCGUCGGCCGUGAAAACCUGCAGCUUAACUGUGGGCUUGCGGUCGAUACGGGCAUCACUGGAGUUCGGCAGGGGAGACUGGAAUUCCUGGUGUAGCGGUGAAAUGCGCAGAUAUCAGGAGGAACACCGGUGGCGAAGGCGGUUCUCUGGGCCUGUACUGACGCUGAGGAGCGAAAGCGUGGGGGAGCGAACAGG
Molecule: ribosomal RNA, 255 nt
Filed under: uncultured bacterium
Lineage: Bacteria
Description: partial 16S ribosomal RNA
Rfam family: Bacterial small subunit ribosomal RNA
Source: RNAcentral